RNAcentral lists this unclassified non-coding RNA (276 nucleotides) under uncultured fungus. RNAcentral describes it as "sequence contains ITS1, 5.8S rRNA gene". The stretch from base 228 to 276 matches the Rfam family "5.8S ribosomal RNA", at positions 1 to 49 of the family's 154-position model. Lineage: Eukaryota; Fungi. The record is from RNAcentral.
UUUCCGUAGGUGAACCUGCGGAAGGAUCAUUAACCGUACCCGACCGUGCUUCGCGCAAGGCCCGGGAUUACACCUUCUUACCCUUUGUGAAACUCGUACCUUUGCUUCGGCAGCACCGAGCGGGCAACCGCGAGGGUAAGGCUGUCAGAGGCCCACAACGAAACCAGUUGAUGAAAUGUCAUGCCGUCUGAAUAACUUCUAUUUGAGAAAUCAAGUAAUUCUGCUAAAACUUUCAGCAACGGAUCUCUUGGUUCCCGCAUCGAUGAAGAACGCAGC